UGAUGAUAGAAAACAGGUGUAAUCAACAUCAUCCCAAUAGCGCUAUACUGAUGAUAGAAAACAGGUGUAAUCAACAUCACCCCAAUAGCGCUAUACUGAUGAUAGAAAACAGGUGUAAUCAACAUCACCCCAAUAGCGCUAUACUGAUGAUAGAAAACAGGUGUAAUCAACAUCACCCCAAUAGCGCUAUACUGAUGAUAGAAAACAGGUGUAAUCAACAUCAUCCCAAUAGCGCUAUACUGAUGAUAGAAAACAGGUGUAAUCAACAUCACCCCAAUAGCGCUAUACUGAUGAUAGAAAACAGGUGUAAUCAACAUCACCCCAAUAGCGCUAUACUGAUGAUAGAAAACAGGUGUAAUCAACAUCACCCCAAUAGCGCUAUACUGAUGAUAGAAAACAGGUGUAAUCAACAUCACCCCA
Long non-coding RNA from Haliotis rubra (blacklip abalone), 420 nucleotides. RefSeq lists it as uncharacterized. NCBI's taxonomy places the organism in Eukaryota, Metazoa, Mollusca, Gastropoda, Lepetellida, Haliotidae. The transcript has 3 exons. The record is from RefSeq and is a predicted model, not a curated record.